RNAcentral lists this long non-coding RNA (7415 nucleotides) under Homo sapiens (human). Its description in RNAcentral is "non-protein coding LINC01159:9". The record is from RNAcentral. Lineage: Eukaryota; Metazoa; Chordata; Mammalia; Primates; Hominidae.
AUGACCACUGGCUCUCACGGUGGCUGGGAACCCUGGCGGGGAGGCCUGCGCCUCCUCAAGCUCCAGUCCCUCUGGAUGGGGCACCAAGAGGCACCCUGAGAACUCAGAGGACCCAGAGGCUCCCCUCAAGCAAAUUCCCUGCUGACCCUGGACACCCCUUGAAGGAGGGGGCAAGAGGCUGCCACAAGGCUCAUCUUAUAACUCCCAGCAAGGACUCCCAGCAAACAAGUUCAGCUUGGGAUCUGCCCACCACCAAGCCUGGCUGGGAGGUGGGGGGGAGCGAGGGGCGGUGGAGAGGCAGAGUCCCUGAACAGGGAAAAGACAAUCAGUUGUUCCCCUUUCUGGUGUCAGAGGCAAAGAAGCCUGAAGGGCUGGUGGUGGUGCUGGCUCUGGGUUUAUUGACUCUGUGAUCCUGUCCAGCUGUCCUACAGGGAGUUCCAGAGCUCUCCCAAAGUGCAUGAGGAACUGCACAAGUAGGACUGGGGCACAAUACCAGAAGCUAUUUGUCUCCUAGAACCUGGCACCCCCUCCACUUACCUUACAGGAGACCCACAUCACUCAGUUCCCAGGACACCUGGUGGGAGAGUCUGGUGAGAUUUGGAGGCAGACUUCCUCUACUCACAACUUGUUUGAAAAUGGACAUAAAGAGAAGAACAGACACUCCAUCGCCCCUUCAGGGCCUCCUUUGUGUCACAAAACCUAUCCCCUCCUAGGGCACCCUUGACAUUCCCCUAGGUGGGCCUACACAUUGUUCAGAACCUGUCCCCUGUACCAAAAUAAAUAUAAAUGAGUUUGUUUCUUUAAAAGAAAUAUUACAGCUUUAAACUUUUCCCAGCCGGAAUCCACCUAAUUUCAUCAAGGUCUCUCGCUAGCAGCCAUAACCCAGGCCAAAAGGGCUUGUCCCUAGGGAGGCACCAAAGGGAGAAUACCCCAGGCCCAUUUCAUUCCACUGAGGUUUUUGAACCCCUAGGUGUCUAAGGUAAUACCACCACCAUCCCCACCUGUUUUCAGUUCUUUCUUUGUGGCUUAAGAUUGCAUUUUUGGAGGGUUUAUGUAAUGUUGUUCACGUCAGCAAGUCUCCCUGCCCCACCCUCACCCCACUGUCCUAUAUGGAAUUAUAGUUGGAAACCACACACACAUAGAAAAUCUUUGAAGAUUUUUUUCUGCUAUUCUUCCUGACUAGAAGAGUUGACAAGACAUAGACACAUUCAGUUGCAUAAAAUACAGUAGCGUGAUCAGCCUAAAUGCAUCUCAUUUGCACUGUUUGUAACCAGGGGUGGGGGCUUGUGUCACUCAUUGCCUCCCCCUCCUCUGCCCAAACCAGACCCGCCAGCUGGAAUUUCAGAGCAGGCCCCAAGGCAGCAGCCAUUUGGGAAGUGGAAGCCCUAGCCCACCCCAGUCCAGCAGGGGUGCGGGGUGGAUAGAGAAGGUGUCUGGAGGUCUGGCCUGAGGGCUUGGACCAACUUUGGCAGACCUGGGCUCUGGGAGGCUUGGCCGGUGGGUGACCACAGCUGGAAGUUGGAGGUCUGCAGCGAUGCUUCUGAGCUUCUCCUGAGUUGAGUUCAAGAAAGGGGACACCAAGAAGUAGGGGAACAGUCACUGACUAUAUUUUACAUCCACGCCUACCCCUUUCCCAGAGUUGUGUUCUCACCACCCACUUUGUCGGCGGAGGAGAAACACUGCUGCCUGAUGCUUGCACUGCUGCACUGUUCUUGCACCUGCUCCUAGCCCUGAACUCGGGCCCUGAGCUCCUCACUGCCGCCCGCUCUGCGCUGAGCCCCACUCCUGAGACCGCGAGGUGCCAGAGCAGCGCCUCUCCCACCAACUCCUAGACGCCUGUAGGAGCUGCGCCGGAGCCUUCAGAACCCCAUGGGGGUGUGGGGGUGAAGUUGGAGGUCAUCCGGGUGAUUUUUUUCUUACUUUUUCCUAAUUGUUCUCCUGCGUUGAUUUCAACUCUUCCAGUCUCCCGGUGCUGGGGCGCCAAUCCUUUCCCAACAAUUCCUACCCACCAGCUGGAGGUCGGGGCCCAGGGUUACCCCAGAGUUCUAUGGUGGCAGGGGGCGCCGAGUAGAGGGGCGGGAGGAGCUGGGUCCUCGGGAACCAAAGGGGACCUCAGCGGGGGCGGAGUGCGCAGCCUUGGCUGCUGGGAAAUGCCCAACUAGCCGCUGUGAGUGCCCACAGCGCGUCGUGGGGGCGUCCGUUCUGCAGCUCGGGUGACUCAGACGCCCUGCCAACCCCACCAGCUCCCGGCUUCUCGAACGCUCUUCUGAUCGCCCAGCGGGGAGACUUCAGGGCCUGCCUCGUCAGGCCAGAUUGCAGCCCGCGACCUUCCCGGAUUAACCAAGGGCGGGGCCUGUUGCCCAGCAAGGCUGCUGCCUAACUGAGCCUCCCGGGGAACAGCCAUGACCAAAGCCCCGCGGGCCCAGGCGCGGGCACCUACCCCUACCCGCUCAGGCCUGUGGGAGCGCAGGGGCAGAGGCCGAGACGCUGGACUUCCAGCCCCACACCUCUGACAACCCGGGCACGUCUGCGGAGCCCGGGGGAACAGUCAGCGGGCUCUGCGUCCCGGGAGCUGGGGACACGCCUGCAAGGGCUUUCCGCCUGCACACAGUCAUUUGGAGAAAAUCAAGUGAGUGCACUUCUCCCCACAGAGGAUUCUGUAUGUUAUGUAACACACUCACACUGGGAUUCCUCAAGUUACCAUUUUGCCCCAACUCAGCCAGCACUUGGUUUUCUGGCGGGGGUGUCAGGAUGAUGCAAAUGGAGGUGGAAGCUUCAUUCCCUGGGGGCUUUUAUUCCCCUCCUUGAAGCCCCAGUUCAAGGCCCAGGAACAAAGGGGAAAGUGUGCAAUGUUCCAGCCGACUUAAUGGGCUUGCCUUAUGCGGAGAGGCAGUCCUGCAGGACAGAGCUAAUGUGUGGUCUCCCAGGAAGCUCAUCAGAACACCUCUUGUCCCUUUUCUUUAAAAGAAAAAAAAUUUAAAAAGUUUUUGCUUCCAUCUCAAUGUCCAUUCCAUUAUUUUGUAGCUACAAUAAAGAAACAUGGGCAGCAGUGAUCAUUCUUUUUGUCCUAUGUAAUCAUGUCUAGUGUUAGGACCUUACAAAGCUCCAGACAUACCUCAGGUGUAUUCUGCACUUUUCAUAUUUAUUCACUGCUCACUGGGUCACACAGAUGAUUCACACUUGAUUCCACCUUCCUCUGGACAACUCUCCCUCAAACAACACCCCUCUAUCAACUUAUAGGGAAAGGAGAUUCACUUAGAGAAAACUUCUUGAAUUAAAGACCAGACUCAGUUUCGCCAGGUAACUAAUCCUGGCAUACCGGUGACUAGGAAGUCAUCACCUAACACUCUACCUAGAUAUAAACUCUCAGGAAGGAGGCAGGCCGGUGGGGACAUUUCCACAGACAUUUCUAAAACUGUGGCAAUUGAGUAUAUUUUACAGAUACAAUUUUGGUAGAUUCCCAUCCAGCUUAAGACAUUUAAAAUGCAAUUUUGUUCACACGCAUGUGCGCGCACACAGACACACACGCACGUGUCAACUAGGGUGAUAUUAACAGUCCAUUUCCACUGGGCAAUUCUGUGACAGCAACUACAACUAACAAACUUCUUUUCUGAAGAGUAAAAAAGAAAACAAAAGCCUCUCCAUCUAUUUUAAAAGGUUAUUUUAUAUUGUUUAGCAUUCUUUCGAAACAGGAAUUGGCUGGACACUUCUCCCUUUUCAAAGAUCAGGUAAACUACUCUCCCACCCACCUCCUCCCCAAGACCAAGCCAUUUUUUAAAGCAAAAAUUCUGUUUCCAAAGGAAGAAAAAUGAACAAAUUCCAUUAAUGAAUUACAUACAUGGAAUGUGGCUUGUCUAGGACAUUUGUAUUUGUAAAUAAAUGGCUCCCUGUUUAUUAUGUAUGUUUUACUGGAAAAAAAACCAACUCUAAUGCCUCUGAGCAUGUUAUAAUACAGCAAAUAUUUCCACUUAUGGUUUCAGUUCCACUGUUUCUUGGUACUCACUAGAAAGAAAUCGGGUUACAUGGAGUCAGUUGUGGGGUUUAAGCGUCCAGGCUGACUUGGGGACGCGGCACCUCUAAAGUUCUCAUGUUUGCCAAAGUGCGGGGGGAAGGGGGAAUGGCUCCUAGGAAUCUUAUGGGGAUUAAUCUGGGGUUUCGCCUUUGUCCCGGGAUCUUUCUAAGGCUCACCACGGCCUCCGUCUGCAGCUUCAGAAGCGAAGCCGGCGUGCGAUCUCCUUGGCGGGCGGACUGGGCACAGUCCCUGCCUUGCCCUGCUGCCGGCGCCCGCACACCGCGGUCUCAGGAUCUCCCCGCAGGCCUAGGCCUGCAGUCCUCGGGCGGAGACGGGGCCUGGGGGAGCGACCCUCACCGGGCCAGGCACAGGCAGUUUACCCUGGUGCCUGUAGGGUGCUCGAGUUUCCCACACGCGGGAAGCGGAGGCGUGGGCCAAGCGCCGGGGGCUGCCCAAGAACUCCACCGCCCCGUGCGGCGCGCAGGGCCUGGCGGCGCGAAACUUCCACAAAGCCGCCGGCCGCCUCCGGCCUUGCCUCCACUCCGCAGUCCCAGCUGCCUAGACCUCGGUGUCUUCCCAGACAAUGAGCCCUGCCAGUGCACUAGGCUGUUCCGCUCUGACUUCUUCUGCCCGCACAUGGGGACCCGAGCGAAAGGUUAUGGGUUGGAACAAGUCAGCGCAUCUCCUUCCACGCGCCGCAUCCUUCGGGAAGACAAACAGAGUACGCCCCCCACCUCAAUUUCGGGCCCUGGUCUGUGGGCUGGGCCACAGUCCGGGAAGACCCAAGGGGUCACGGGUCCAGAUCCGUCUUUACUUUGUCCUCCGCUCCAGGGCUCCAGGGCCCUGGGCAGCAGAGAGGUGGAUUUCAGAGAAAGCCCGGGUCAGCCAGGCCUUGAACUCAGCCCCUCUGAACUCCACCGUCAGCAGCGUGGGCGGCAACUCAAUUCUCCUGGGAGGAGGCUGCACCCCCAGAACGGAAAAUCCGCAAACGUCGCGCAGAGACCCACAGGCAUUUCUACCUUUCCUUCCACAAGCCCUGCAGAAAGUUAUCGCCAGAACCUCUGGAACCUGAGCCGACUCCAGCCUCCAGCAACUCCCUCAACCUUCCAGGGAAACUUUCAGAAGUUUCCCUUUCCUUCGCUCCUCAAUUCCUUGGACUUUCUCCAGCCCCCAGGUUUGCUCAUUACUCUGCUGACUGCCCUUUAGUCUCUAGGGCUCCACAGGCCUGAGCGUUUCCAGAAUAAUAAUAAUAAUAAUAAUAAUAAUAAUAAUAAUAAUAAUAAUAAUUGUUAUUAUGAGGCUGGGGAAGAACAGGAUCAGAGGGUAGGAGGGACUGAGGGAGAGAGUGGACAUGUUUAUGAAAAGGUUUAUUUAAACCUGUGUUUCAAAAGGGUUCAGUUGACAAUUAUCAGUAACCCCGAUAGACAACUCCAUUAAAAAAAAAAAGAAUUUACUAUUGCUCUUGAAAGCCGUUAUUUUUUCCAUCGCUUUUUAGGAAGAUAGAUGAACAAAACAUCGCGUUUCAAGCCAUUUUGAUCUGUAAUUGAAAGGCAGGAUCGGUUUGUAUUCUCCUACGGCUUUUACAGAAGUUGCAGUGAUCCAAAGUCGGGUUGCUGUGUCAGAGUGGCAUUUUUAUUAAUGAGAAUACAAAAAGCUUGCAUAUUCUUAGCCCUGCUUGAAUUUAGUUGCUAAGCAACGGGUGUAUGGUAAUUCAUCCGCGAAAUUUAAAUCUUUGAGAAAGGUUCGUGCGUUUUGCUGAAUGGUCGCCACGAGGAAAACAACUUGUGGGACCCACAGCAGCUGCCACAGUCUGGCCGCCCGGCCGUGCCGGGCCGAGCAGGGACCCGGCCGCCCCACCGCGACCGGCUGCAAAGUUCAGGAUGCAAACGCAGAGGCUUCUGCUUUCCUUAUUGAAAUCAACGUCAAGCCUACCGUGAGGAUCCUGCACCCAGGAGGUCACAUGGGUGAACUUCAGGCCCUCAGACCAGCAGCCCUGAGGAGCUGAGAUGACCAACCGACCUACAGAACUUGGAGAGCCUGAGAGGUUGCCCCACGCUUCUCACAUGCGUCACUCAACAACAACAACAGCAGCAGCAGCAACAACAACGACAACAACACCUGUGCUGAUUGCUUAUGCUGUUAGUAGCUGGACUAGGACAAAGGGCUUCUCCACUCACAGUCAUUUUAUAGAUCAUCUAAUUUUUUUUCUUCAGUCUAGCACAACUCUUCUUUUUUCACAUCACCUUGUUUCUGGGUCACUGAUAACCUCAAACUCCCAACUCUUAUUACAACUCCCUUUCCCAACGUAGAUGUCUGAGCACAGUCAGGUAUUAGGUUAUCACUGAAACAUAGCAUCUGCUCUAAUCCUUGCAGCCAGCCACGUGCAUUUCAUGAAAGAAGAAAAUUCUUUAAUUUCUGUCUUUCUGCCUUAAAAAAACAAUCAGGUCCACCUUUUAAAUAAUUAAUUUCAAGUCUGCAUCCAGUGCCAAUACUUGUUGCAUCCAUUUUAGAGUUGAUUAAUUACCCUGGAACUUGGGCAAACUAAACUCCAUGUGGAGAGAAUGUUUCUUCCUUCAAUUUAGUACUGAAAGCUACAAGUUAUUAAUGGAUUUUACUCAAUUUACAUACAAAUUAGUGCAAAUAUGCCCGUCUCUUAAAGUACAUUUUUGUAUAAAUAUAUAAAAGUAUCAUUUUUGAUUUAGCUUGAAGAGGUUGAUCAUUUAUUACAAAAAUAAACGAAUAAAUACAACAAUAUAUUGUUGCUUUCAACAGGAUAAAUACUUUACAAAUAUAUAAUUUAAAAAACAAAUUUAAUUGUUAAAAUUAUUUAAAAUAUUACACUUAUCGAUAAAACUAUCAAUAGUAUAUACUGCAUUUAAUAUUAGAACCAAUUAUUCUCUGAAUGUUCAAAACCAUUCAUACAAAACAGAUUAUGAGCAUGGUCAUGAGCAAACACUGGAGGCUACAGGGCAGCAAAGGGAAUCGCUAAGAUCAAUAACGAACAGUUCUCUUCGGAACAAAGAAGUAGUCCUUGGCUAAGUACUAAAAAAAAAAAAAAAAAAAAAAAAAAAAAGGCAGAGCAACAAUAGCAAAGUGACUAUUUUCAAUACACCUUGAAUGAUUUAUCGCACAGACUUGCCAGGGGAAGAUGGUUGUGGGAGCGACGGAGGCUUGGACAACUGAUCAAGAGCCACAGGAGACUGUAAACUGUAAGUGGGCCUAGCUUGGGAUUAGCAAGGCUGAUGGAACAGAACUUUGUCACUUUCCUUUGGGUUGGAAGGGGAGGGGGGGUUGGAUUGAAAUGGAGGAAACAAAUGGGCACUUUACGAAGCACAAGACACUUGCACUGCAAAGGAACACAAUGACCAAAUUCAUUAAAAAGAUCUGGUGAUAUAUAACAAUA